AUUUGCUGGGUAUGGUGUGGUAUCAAGCAAAGUCCCUCAGGGAAGGUUUAUCCUUCAGGAGAACAUGGAGUGUGAGUUAAAUCUACGAGUCUUUCUGCUCCAGUCCAAUCAAAAGGUAAAAGGUACAUCUGAGCUGGCUCAACUAUUGGGGCAUGAUAUGGAUCAAUGGGGGAGAUGACAGC
Molecule: long non-coding RNA, 182 nt
Filed under: Dasypus novemcinctus (nine-banded armadillo)
Lineage: Eukaryota; Metazoa; Chordata; Mammalia; Cingulata; Dasypodidae
Description: lncRNA (ENSDNOG00000050407.1)
Source: RNAcentral